This 478-nucleotide long non-coding RNA is filed under the name Glycine max (soybean). RNAcentral describes it as "long non-coding RNA (GMAX_LNC004459)". The record is from RNAcentral. Lineage: Eukaryota; Viridiplantae; Streptophyta; Magnoliopsida; Fabales; Fabaceae.
UGCUAAGAUGAAUUAUAUAUGAAUUAUGAACUUAUACAUUUCAUGUAUGAUAUAGAAAGGAAAUUUGAAAAAGAUAUUAGCAUGUCAUUUUCAGAGUGGGUCAGCAUGUCAUAAUCCAGCAUUCAUCAAUCCUCAUGCUCCAUGAAGUGUGACAGUGCCCAAUAUCAAUAGCUGCAGACCCAUCCAGUUGGAUGCGGUCCACCUUUUUUAUAUUCCCCCCAUUAUAUUUGUUUUGAUACACCCCGACCACGUGAUGACAUUAGCUUGAGAAUGUUUCACGGUCUUUCGUUGUUAAGAUGGUAAGAUCCUUAACAAUGAUGCAUAGCCAAGUGGAUGAUGUAACACAUAAUAUACAAACUGGACGGUUCCGCACCAAUGGUUCUUCUGAUGUGACAUCUUAUACAGGAGAAAAUUUGGGGCACUAUUUGUAUGAAAUUUAUCGUGCUAGACUUGGUUUAAAACCCAACUCAAAUUCGGC